AUUGAACGCUGGCGGCAGGCUUAACACAUGCAAGUCGAACGAUGACUCUCUAGCUUGCUAGAGAAGAUUAGUGGCGGACGGGUGAGUAACAUUUAGGAAUCUGCCUAGUAGUGGGGGAUAGCUCGGGGAAACUCGAAUUAAUACCGCAUACGACCUACGGGUGAAAGGGGGCGCAAGCUCUUGCUAUUAGAUGAGCCUAAAUCAGAUUAGCUAGUUGGUGGGGUAAAGGCCCACCAAGGCGACGAUCUGUAACUGGUCUGAGAGGAUGAUCAGUCACACCGGAACUGAGACACGGUCCGGACUCCUACGGGAGGCAGCAGUGGGGAAUAUUGGACAAUGGGGGCAACCCUGAUCCAGCCAUGCCGCGUGUGUGAAGAAGGCCUUCGGGUUGUAAAGCACUUUUAGUUGGGAAGAAAAGUUCAUGGCUAAUAACUAUGAGUGAUGACGUUACCAACAGAAAAAGCACUGGCUAACUCUGUGCCAGCCGCCGCGGUAA
Molecule: ribosomal RNA, 496 nt
Filed under: uncultured bacterium
Lineage: Bacteria
Description: partial 16S ribosomal RNA
Rfam family: Bacterial small subunit ribosomal RNA
Source: RNAcentral